RNAcentral lists this ribosomal RNA (497 nucleotides) under uncultured bacterium. Its description in RNAcentral is "partial 16S ribosomal RNA". It matches the Rfam family "Bacterial small subunit ribosomal RNA", at positions 28 to 507 of the family's 1533-position model. The record is from RNAcentral.
GAUGAACGCUGGCGGCGUGCCUAAUACAUGCAAGUCGAGCGAACGGACGAGAAGCUUGCUUCUCUGAUGUUAGCGGCGGACGGGUGAGUAACACGUGGAUAACCUACCUAUAAGACUGGGAUAACUUCGGGAAACCGGAGCUAAUACCGGAUGAGAUUUUGAACCGCAUGGUUCAAAAGUGAAAGACGGUCUUGCUGUCACUUAUAGAUGGAUCCGCGCUGCAUUAGCUAGUUGGUAAGGUAACGGCUUACCAAGGCAACGAUGCAUAGCCGACCUGAGAGGGUGAUCGGCCACACUGGAACUGAGACACGGUCCAGACUCCUACGGGAGGCAGCAGUAGGGAAUCUUCCGCAAUGGGCGAAAGCCUGACGGAGCAACGCCGCGUGAGUGAUGAAGGUCUUCGGAUCGUAAAACUCUGUUAUUAGGGAAGAACAUAUGUGUAAGUAACUGUGCACAUCUUGACGGUACCUAAUCAGAAAGCCACGGCUAACUACGUG